RNAcentral lists this RNase P RNA (321 nucleotides) under Campylobacter upsaliensis. RNAcentral's name for it is "RNase P RNA component class A". It matches the Rfam family "Bacterial RNase P class A". From Rfam's summary of the family: Ribonuclease P (RNase P) is a ubiquitous endoribonuclease, found in archaea, bacteria and eukarya as well as chloroplasts and mitochondria. Lineage: Bacteria; Pseudomonadati; Campylobacterota; Epsilonproteobacteria; Campylobacterales; Campylobacteraceae. The record is from RNAcentral.
AAAGCAUAGUAAAUGCUCGCUUCGCAAGAAGAGGAAAGUCCGAGCUGCAAAAGACAAGCAUUCCAUCUAACAGAUGGCUAGAGUGAUCUAAGGGAUAGUGCAACAGAAAGCAAACUACCGCAAAAGAGCGGAAAAGGUGAAACGGCAGGGUAAGAGCCUACCAGCGAUUUUGGUAACAAAGUCGGCUAUGUAAACCCAAUGUGCAGCAAGAAGGGGUGGUUAUCGUCUUUAUUUUAACCCUUCGCUUGAUUUUGUUUGUAAAAACAAAACUAGAUAAAUGAGCAUUCACGACAGAACUCGGCUUAUCGCUAUGCUUUGAUA